UACGUAGGGUGCGAGCGUUAAUCGGAAUUACUGGGCGUAAAGCGUGCGCAGGCGGUUUUGUAAGCCAGAUGUGAAAUCCCCGGGCUUAACCUGGGAAUGGCAUUUGGGACUGCAAAGCUUGAGUGUGGCAGAGGGGGAUGGAAUUCCGCGUGUAGCAGUGAAAUGCGUAGAUAUGCGGAGGAACACCGAUGGCGAAGGCAAUCCCCUGGGCCUGCACUGACGCUCAUGCACGAAAGCGUGGGGAGCAAACAGG
This 253-nucleotide ribosomal RNA is filed under the name uncultured bacterium. RNAcentral's name for it is "partial 16S ribosomal RNA". It matches the Rfam family "Bacterial small subunit ribosomal RNA", at positions 524 to 776 of the family's 1533-position model. The record is from RNAcentral.